RNAcentral lists this non-coding RNA (267 nucleotides) under Paenibacillus antarcticus. Its description in RNAcentral is "T-box sequence". It matches the Rfam family "T-box leader". Rfam says of the family: Uncharged tRNA acts as the effector for transcription antitermination of genes in the T-box leader family. T-boxes are found upstream of many aminoacyl-tRNA synthetase genes and some amino acid biosynthetic genes usually in Gram-positive bacteria. The record is from RNAcentral. Lineage: Bacteria; Bacillati; Bacillota; Bacilli; Caryophanales; Paenibacillaceae.
UGAUUUCCGAGGAACGGAUGAGUAUGAGAAUACCGUUUAGUACAGAGAGCCGGGGUAGCUGUAAACCGGUCUAAGUGGAUUCUCAGAAUAUGGUCCGGGAGGAAUUGUUUUCGAGCUUGAAGAAUCCCUAUGGGUUACUUCGUGAGGGGACAACGUGUGCCAGCGUUAAUGGACAGUUUCGAGUCAUAUCGGGACUGAUGGAGCCUGCCACCUGCAAAGGUGUAGGGAAUUUGGGUGGUAACACGUGAGAUAACUCUCGUCCCAUAU